Molecule: long non-coding RNA, 504 nt
Filed under: Homo sapiens (human)
Lineage: Eukaryota; Metazoa; Chordata; Mammalia; Primates; Hominidae
Description: novel transcript
Source: RNAcentral
AGGAGCUUGGGAUACAUGGAUGAACAAGGCAGACAAGUAUCCCCAUCCGUAUGGAGUUUACAUUCCAGGGGCAGGAGACAGGUCAGUAAAUUAUACUUUUGUUAGAGAGUGGUAAGUGCUAUGGAGGAAAGGAAAGUUGUUUCUGGAGAUGCAGGGUUGGGGGCAGGUCACAGCUGGAGUCAGGCAGCCCAGUCAAGAGGCUGUGGAAAGUCAAGCUGGAGAGGCAAGGCCUGCUGGGGGCUGUGGAGGUCAGGAGAAGGCCACACACCACGGGCCAGACUGUGUAUGGUAGGGGUGGGACCAAGGUGCCACUGAGCUUUUACGUUUAGGUGGCAAAGAAGAUGAUGUCAUUCAUAAAAGCAGGAAGGCAUUAGUUCAUUUGAGGAACAGAAAGAGUGCAGUGCAUCUGAUGAGCGGGGAGAGGCGUUUCAGAUGAAGAGACAGGCUGGGACCAGGUCAUGUAGCCUGGUAGUCUCUUGGGGAAUUAUUCCAAGAACAAUGGGA